AGAGUUUGAUCCUGGCUCAGGAUGAACGCUGGCGGCGUGCUUAACACAUGCAAGUCGAACGGUGAAGCAGAGCUUGCCCUGUGGAAAGGGCGAACGGGUGAGUAACACGUGAGCAAUCUGCCCCUGACUCUGGGAUAAGCGCUGGAAACGGCGUCUAAUACCGGAUACGAGCUGCGACCGCAUGGUCAGUAGCUGGAAAGAAUUUCGGGUCAGGGAUGAGCUCGCGGCCUAUCAGCUUGUUGGUGAGGUAAUGGCUCACCAAGGCGUCGACGGGUAGCCGGCCUGAGAGGGUGACCGGCCACACUGGGACUGAGACACGGCCCAGACUCCUACGGGAGGCAGCAGUGGGGAAUAUUGCACAAUGGGCGCAAGCCUGAUGCAGCAACGCCGCGUGAGGGAUGACGGCCUUCGGGUUGUAAACCUCUUUUAGCAGGGAAGAAGCGAAAGUGACGGUACCUGCAGAAAAAGCGCCGGCUAACUACGUGCCAGCAGCCGCGGUAAUACGUAGGGCGCAAGCGUUAUCCGGAAUUAUUGGGCGUAAAGAGCUCGUAGGCGGUCUGUCGCGUCUGCUGUGAAAACCCGAGGCUCAACCUCGGGCCUGCAGUGGGUACGGGCAGACUAGAGUGCGGUAGGGGAGAUUGGAAUUCCUGGUGUAGCGGUGGAAUGCGCAGAUAUCAGGAGGAACACCGAUGGCGAAGGCAGAUCUCUGGGCCGUAACUGACGCUGAGGAGCGAAAGGGUGGGGAGCAAACAGGCUUAGAUACCCUGGUAGUCCACCCCGUAAACGUUGGGAACUAGUUGUGGGGUCCAUUCCACGGAUUCCGUGACGCAGCUAACGCAUUAAGUUCCCCGCCUGGGGAGUACGGGCGCAAGGCUAAAACUCAAAGGAAUUGACGGGGACCCGCACAAGCGGCGGAGCAUGCGGAUUAAUUCGAUGCAACGCGAAGAACCUUACCAAGGCUUGACAUAUAGAGGAAACGUCUGGAAACAGUCGCCCCGCAAGGUCUCUAUACAGGUGGUGCAUGGUUGUCGUCAGCUCGUGUCGUGAGAUGUUGGGUUAAGUCCCGCAACGAGCGCAACCCUCGUUCUAUGUUGCCAGCACGUAAUGGUGGGAACUCAUGGGAUACUGCCGGGGUCAACUCGGAGGAAGGUGGGGAUGACGUCAAAUCAUCAUGCCCCUUAUGUCUUGGGCUUCACGCAUGCUACAAUGGCCGGUACAAAGGGCUGCAAUACCGUGAGGUGGAGCGAAUCCCAAAAAGCCGGUCCCAGUUCGGAUUGAGGUCUGCAACUCGACCUCAUGAAGUCGGAGUCGCUAGUAAUCGCAGAUCAGCAACGCUGCGGUGAAUACGUUCCCGGGUCUUGUACACACCGCCCGUCAAGUCAUGAAAGUCGGUAACACCUGAAGCCGGUGGCCCAACCCUUGUGGAGGGAGCCGUCGAA
Molecule: ribosomal RNA, 1439 nt
Filed under: Microbacterium arborescens
Lineage: Bacteria; Bacillati; Actinomycetota; Actinomycetes; Micrococcales; Microbacteriaceae
Description: 16S ribosomal RNA
Rfam family: Bacterial small subunit ribosomal RNA
Source: RNAcentral